Molecule: ribosomal RNA, 497 nt
Filed under: uncultured bacterium
Lineage: Bacteria
Description: partial 16S ribosomal RNA
Rfam family: Bacterial small subunit ribosomal RNA
Source: RNAcentral
GAUGAACGCUGGCGGCGUGCCUAAUACAUGCAAGUCGAGCGAACAGACGAGGAGCUUGCUCCUCUGAUGUUAGCGGCGGACGGGUGAGUAACACGUGGAUAACCUACCUAUAAGACUGGGAUAACUUCGGGAAACCGGAGCUAAUACCGGAUAACAUGUUGAACCGCAUGGUUCAACAGUGAAAGACGGUCUUGCUGUCACUUAUAGAUGGAUCCGCGCCGCAUUAGCUAGUUGGUAAGGUAACGGCUUACCAAGGCAACGAUGCGUAGCCGACCUGAGAGGGUGAUCGGCCACACUGGAACUGAGACACGGUCCAGACUCCUACGGGAGGCAGCAGUAGGGAAUCUUCCGCAAUGGGCGAAAGCCUGACGGAGCAACGCCGCGUGAGUGAAGAAGGUCUUCGGAUCGUAAAACUCUGUUAUUAGGGAAGAACAAAUGUGUAAGUAACUCUGCACGUCUUGACGGUACCUAAUCAGAAAGCCACGGCUAACUACGUG